AUGGCGACCGCCGGGAAGGUGAUCAAGUGCAAAGCGGCGGUGGCAUGGGAGGCCGGGAAGCCGCUGUCGAUCGAGGAGGUGGAGGUGGCGCCGCCGCAGGCCAUGGAGGUGCGCGUCAAGAUCCUCUACACCGCCCUCUGCCACACCGACGUCUACUUCUGGGAAGCCAAGGGGCAAACUCCGGUUUUCCCUAGGAUCUUGGGCCAUGAAGCUGGAGGCAUUGUUGAAAGUGUCGGAGAGGGUGUGACCGAGCUCGUGCCGGGCGACCAUGUACUCCCGGUCUUCACCGGCGAGUGCAAAGACUGUGCCCACUGCAAGUCAGAGGAGAGCAACCUUUGUGACCUCCUCAGGAUCAACGUGGAUCGUGGCGUGAUGAUCGGGGAUGGGCAGUCAGGCUUCACCAUCAACGGGAAACCCAUCUUCCACUUUGUCGGGACCUCCACCUUCAGUGAGUACACUGUGAUCCAUGUUGGUUGCCUCGCCAAGAUCAACCCCGAGGCGCCCCUUGACAAAGUUUGUGUUCUCAGCUGUGGCAUCUCAACUGGACUUGGUGCUACCCUUAAUGUCGCGAAACCGAAAAAGGGUUCGACGGUGGCCAUAUUCGGUCUUGGAGCUGUAGGCCUUGCUGCCAUGGAAGGGGCCAAGAUGUCUGGGGCAUCAAGGAUCAUUGGUGUGGAUUUGAACCCUGCAAAAUACGAACAAGCUAAGAAAUUUGGAUGCACCGACUUUGUGAACCCAAAGGACCACACCAAGCCAGUGCUUGUCGAGAUGACCAAUGGCGGCGUCGACCGUGCGGUUGAGUGUACUGGCCACAUCGACGCCAUGAUCGCCGCCUUCGAAUGUGUCCAUGAUGGUUGGGGCGUGGCGGUGCUGGUGGGCGUCCCGCACAAGGAGGCGGUGUUCAAGACAAGCCCGAUGAACUUGCUCAAUGAGAGGACCCUGAAGGGCACCUUCUUCGGCAACUACAAGCCGCGGACCGACCUCCCGGAAGUCGUGGAGAUGUACAUGAGGAAGGAGCUGGACCUGGAGAAGUUCAUCACCCACAGCGUGCCUUUCUCGCAGAUCAACACGGCGUUCGACCUCAUGCUCAAGGGGGAGGGCCUGCGCUGCAUCAUGAGAAUGGACGAGUAG
RNAcentral lists this ribosomal RNA (1131 nucleotides) under Triticum aestivum (bread wheat). RNAcentral describes it as "partial small subunit ribosomal RNA". The record is from RNAcentral. Lineage: Eukaryota; Viridiplantae; Streptophyta; Magnoliopsida; Poales; Poaceae.